RNAcentral lists this long non-coding RNA (6392 nucleotides) under Nicotiana tabacum (common tobacco). Its description in RNAcentral is "long non-coding RNA (NTAB_LNC011186)". The record is from RNAcentral. Lineage: Eukaryota; Viridiplantae; Streptophyta; Magnoliopsida; Solanales; Solanaceae.
UUACUCUUUAAUAAAAACCUAGAUAUAAAAGGGUUUUUUAGACCUAAUCUAGACCAAAAAGGGAACACUCCCCCUUCCUAAUAUAGCUCAACGACGGCAGCACAUAAGACCACGGAUACAAUGUCUAUUUUGGGGUUUUCUCCUUCAUUGAGUAUAGGUAAAAUCACUAUGGAAAUACCUUGAAUUACCACCGAAAUUCCACAGUCUUUCACAUCCCUACACCUCCGUUACCUUCCUCCUAAUUCAAGACAUAAGAAAAUGAUCUCCACUUGAAUGAAAAGUUAAAACAGCACUCAAAAUUCCACUUCCAAAAGAUGCUGAGAUUUUUUUUUGUUGGUUUUCAAUUCUGAUCAAUUUUCGGGUUGAAAUUUGAGAUUAAGGUGCGGUCAACAGGUGGUCCAUUUGAGGUUUUCGGGUUCUGGGUUUGUUUGUGGAUUCGCGGUUCCUGUCCAAUAGUAGUUGCUAUUUGCUACUCCAUCGAGCUCCCGUCGACGGAUUUUUUCCUCACUUGAUCAAGUGUAAAACUUUUUUGAGGAAAUUAUUGAAAAACACUCAAAGGUCCACUUCAUUUCUCAUAUCAUAUUUGUCUUAUAUUAUGUUCUGUUUUGUUUUAUAUUUUAGAGUUACAUUCCUUGGUUCGUUAUUUUGGAUUGAUCUACUUCAUGUUGAUUACCCUUCAUCUCUUGAUUAGAAUUAAUGCAUGAAGAAUAAGGGUCUAAAUACUUCGGGGGAUUUAAGUUAAAAUAAAAUUGAAAGGACUUGGAUAUGUUUGGUUUAAUCGACAAUGAGAUGUAAUGGUUAAUCCAAUUACAUGUUAAAAAAUCCAUACUUUCUUCAUGUAUUUGUUUUUAAAUGGAACCCAGAUGGUCGUCAAAAUCAAAGCUUUAUGUAUCUGGAGUUGAACACAAUCGAUGAAUGCAAAAAAUUGGCAUAAUAGCAGUCUCUAUUGUUUUGUUAUUUUUGAAUUGAUUGGUGGGUGUUUUGUGUUUAGUCCUUGUUUGGUUUAUAAUGUUGAGAAAAGUAGUAGUUCAUAAUUUACGGUUUGUAGUGGAUUGUGGAAGCUUUGGUAAAAGAGUUAAUAAUUAUGAGUGGAAAUUACAAGGUAGAUUGAAUAAUAACAUAGAUUUCCCAAUUUGCUGAAUACUUAUCCAGGGAACUUGACAAAGAGUGAUGGUUGUCAAUACCAUUGUAUGCAAACUGAGACGAGUUUGGACAAAUUUAUUGGGAAUACUUUUUUGCAUAUUUAAAUAAAUCAUCGUGAUUGUGUACACAUUCGCGUGACAUAAUUACGAUCCUAAAAACAAAUUCGGAGUAUGCAUUCGCGCAACAUUGACUAAACUUCCUUAAUAAUAAUAAAGCGUUAUUAAUUGUGGACACGUUCGCAUGACAUAAUUUUUGACGUGCCAAACAAACGGGUACACGUACACGUGACCCAUUUUAAGAUAAUUUCUUAAUUAAAAGAGACAAAUACACAUAGGUUCUAAAAUAAGUAGUUAAACAAUUUAAGCCAUAUAUAAAUUGGUAAGCGACCAUUCUAGAACCACGGAACCCGGGAAUGCCUAACACCUUCUUCCGGGUUAACAAAAUUCCUUACUUAGAAUUUCUGGUUCGCAGACUUUUUAAAUAAAAUCGAUUUUCCUCGAUUUGGGAUUUUAAAAUAAACCGGUGACUUGGGACACCAAAUAAAUUAUCUCAAGUGGUGACUCUGAGAAAUGAAUAAAAAAAUAACCCCAUUUCGAUUUAUGUCACUUUAAUUUGAAAACUUCCCUUAUAUCCCUCAUCGGGUAAAAAAGGAGGUGUGACACUCACAGUCCAUGGAUCUCUUUUUAGUCACCAAGUCUUUCAUGAACUUGGCUUAACCCGGUAUUUGCUCAAGAGCUUCCACCAAAGAAAUAUUGAUUGAUAAGCUCUUCAUUUCAUCAUGUCAAUAAAUUUUCAAAAUUGGUUUUCAUUCUUUUGCUUCGCAAACCUUUGAGGGUAAGGUGGAGGAGGCCUUGGCAAGGCAGCCUUAGCCUUGGGCACUACCAUUUUCGGUAUGUCUAUUACGUGUUCCCUAGACGGGUUCACGUCAUCUUGGGUCUCCACCUCGUCAUCAUGAACAUCAAUCCUCUCUAGUAAUUUCCUUUUGCUUGGAGGUAUUCACAUCACCACCUCGACCAUUUCUAGUAAUCACCGCCAUUGCAUGCCCGGUGUUGUUCCUACCUUUCGAGUUUACUACCGUAUCACUAGGUAGAGCCCUCUUAGGGGGAGUAUUCAAAGACUAUGAAAUCUGGCCAAGUUGAACCUCCAAAUUCUGGAUUAAAGUAUUGUGGGAUGCCAACUGAGCAUCAGAGUUGGCAUUCUUCUUCAUCAGUUGUUUAAACAUCAUCGCGAUCCUUCCCAUCUCAUUGUUUGACGAGCUAAGACUUUGGGACGAAAAUGGAGGUGGGUUGUUUGGUUGUUGAUGUAUGGAGGCCUUUGAAAGCCUUGCCCCCGAUUCCCUUGAUUGCCAUUGUUUCAACCCCCUUGGUUGUUGUUUCCUUCCCCAAUUGUUGUUGUUGCCACUCCAAUUAUCCUGAUUGUUCUAGUUGCCCCAAUUUUGAUUGUUCCCCUAAUUUCUAUUGCCUUUUUGGUUUUGAUUCCCCUAAUUUCCUUGGGAUAUCCAUUGUUGUUAUUGGUUAGGAGCAUUAUCCCUUUUUCCUUGGUAAUUGUUCAUAUAUUUCACUUCUUCAUUUUGCUCAUCAUAGCCCUCAUCUUGAUUGAAACCACCAUUACCUUGGUCAUAUUGAUCCGAACUACCUUGACCUUGUUGACCUCUUUGUCGCCUCUUGUUGACCAACAUGUUGACACCUUUCAUAGCAUUUACUUGUCUAGGAGCUUGAACCUAUUUCAAUUGAGCUUUUGCUAACUGGUUCAUUGUGGUAGUUAACUCUGCUAUUGCCUGGCCAUGAUCAUGGAGCUCUUUGUGCAAGUGGAUGACAGUGGGGUCACUCUGUAGCACAUUGGCUCGAAUUUUCCAAGAUGAGGAAGUAUCUGCCAUCUCAUCCAAUAUCUUACACGCUUGAUCAUAAGGUGUGUUCAUAAAAUUUUCCCCUGCAAGCUGGUUCACUACACACUGAAUGGUCGUGUUAAUGCCACAGUAGAAUGUCUACUUAAUCAUUGCUUUGGUCAUGUCAUUGUUUGGACAUUUUGUAAUGCCCUAGAAAAUUUUUCUAAGUAAUUUACGAUUUCGUGGUACCAGGUAGGUUAGUUAUAAUAUUUUACGUGAUAUUAAUAUGAUGACAUCAAUUGAAUUUGGUAAAUAAGAGUAUAAGUCAUAUAAUAAGUAAUGUGUGGUCUAAUGGGAAGCCUUAGUCUAAGUCAAGUUAGAAAAUUUCAUAAUGGGCUAAAAUUCCAAAUGAGUUUGAAUAAGUCCAUACUUUGGACGAGCAUAUCUAAAUAUAUGUAAGGUAUUAUGUGAUGAACAACCUAUCAAAUGAAAGGUCUUUGAGUCUAGUUUCUAACGCUUUAAACCGUUCAUCAUUUGGACAUUCCUACACAAAGUUAUGAUCAAUGUACCAAAGGCUGGAUUUGCGAUCAAUUUCGCGAUCGCAAAAUGACUCUGCGGACCGCAUACGCGUCGCAUAGUGAAGCAGAGUCGGGAAAAAAUUAUAAUGUCGCAUGUUGAUUAUACUAUUGCAUAAUGAUUAUGAUGCAAGUCUACUGCCCACAUAUCGAUUAUGCUAUAGCAUAAUUGCACCACAUAAUUGACUUUGGGGGUCAUUUUUGGAAAUUUUCAUAUCUGAGCCCACUUUGAUAAAUAAGCUUUGGGGCUUCAUUUGGGGCUAUUUUAUUGUGACGAGCUGGUCGGUCAUCUUAAGAAUUAACACCCAGAUCCCCUCUUAACUACUGUCCCCAUAUUUAUUUCUGCUAUUUUGAUUUGCUAGGAUGUUCAGUUUUGAGUUUCAGAGAGUUCCGGGACACUUAGUCCCUAAAUGAGAGCUUAAGUGUUGAAAAGUUGAUUAUAGUCAGAAUAGUGUAAAGACAACCUCGAAAUGGAAUUUUGAUUGUUUCAUUAGCUUCGUUUGAUGAUUUCGGGCUUAGGGGCAUGAUCGGAUGGUGUUUUGGAGGUCCGUAGCUAAUUUAGGCUUGAAAUGCCGAAAGGUCGAAUUUUGAAGUUUCUGAUUCGAUAGUAAAAUUUUGAUCCGAGGGUCGGAAUGGAAUUUCAGAAGUUGGAGUAGCUCCGUAGUGUUGAAUGUGACAUGUGUGCAAAAUUUUAGGUCAUUCAGACGAUGUUUGAUAAACUUUUUGAUCGAAAGCGUAUUUUUAGAGUUUUGGAAUUUUUAGGCUUGAAUCCGUGGUUGAUUCGUCGUUUUGAUGUUGUUUAAGGUGUUUUAAGGACUGAUAUAAGUUUGGACAGUGGUAUUAGACUUGUUGGUACCUUUGGUUGAGGUCUCGGGGGCGUCGAGAUGAUUUCGGAUGGUUGACGGAAGGAUUUUGGAAUUUGAAGUUGCAGCUUCAGCUACUGGUUUUCUGUUAUAACCACACCUGUGAGUGUUGGACCGCAGGAGCAGGUAUGAGGCCACAAAAGCGAGAAUUGUCCAGGGCUCCAGGAUCUGUAGGUGCGGCCGGGUUUUUGCAAAUGCGGUGCCGUAGAUGCGGACCCUGCCCGUUAAGUGACUUUUUGCACCUGUGAUGUAUUCUUCAGUAGGUGCGGGAUCACAAGUGCGCUCCCUUGACCGCAGAUGCGGUAAUCGCUGGGCAGAAACAUAUAAAUACUUGCCUUCCCGAAAUUUAGCUAUUUUUCACCUCUUUUCCAACGGGAAGGAGCUUGGGAAGCACUUUUCAAGAAGGAUUUUCAGAGGAGUUCAUUGAGGUAAGGUCUUUGAUCCCUAAACUCAUUAUUGGAGUGAUUUUUAUCAUUAUAAGGAUGAAAAAUUAAGGAAAAUCAGUGGUAAUUUGGGGGUUAGGGCUUGACUAAUUAGAGGCCUUUGAGUGAUGAUUUGAGGGACUAAUUGAGGUCCGAUUUUAUUACUUUUGGUAUGACUGAGCUCGUGAGAGUGUAAGAAUUCUGGAAAUGUAAAUAUUACCUGAUUCUGAGAUGUGGGCCCGUGGGGCAUUUUGGUUAUUUUACCUAAUUUCACAUAUUUGCUUAGAAUUUCUUUGUAGAAUCAGUUACUUGAAGUAUUAUUUACAUUAUGAAAUUGAAUUGAAUAGAUUUGGGCCAUUUGGAGUUGAGUACUCGUGGCAAGAGCGUGGUUUCGAAUUGAUUUGAGCUGGUUCGAGGUAAGUGACUUGCCUUACCUUGUGUAGGGACCUUCCCCUUAAGAUUUGGUAUAUUUGAUAAUUGAAAAGCCUUGUACGUAAGGUGACGAGUGCGCACUUGAGCUAAUUGUUGAAAAUCCAGUUUUCUUUAAGUAAUUUUAAUUGUGUUCCUUUUUCCUGUCUUAUACUACUUACAAUUUAAGCCUGUUAUUAGCCUAGAAAAGCAUGUUUAAUUGACUUAAUUGCUUACUUGCUUAACCUGCCUUGAUUGUAUUAUGUGAAGCAUGUUAGGUUAGAAUUACCUGUUUACUUGGUACGAAAUUGAGCUUAAAUGAGUAUUCCUUGUGUUGUUGCUGCGUGUUUUACUUUGGGACUAUGGGACGACAUCCCGGGAGUUUCCCUACACGUAUUUAUGAUUAAGCUGAGGUGCAGGAUACCAAAAGAUCCCUAGCACGGAUAUUGAGGAUACAAGAGAUCCUCGAGAUACCGAUAGCUCCCUAGCACGUAUAUUGAGGAUACCAAGAGAUAUUCGGGAAACUAAGAGAUCCCUAGCAUAUAUUGAGGAUACCGAGAGAUCCUUGGGAUACCAAGAGAUCCCUGACAUAUAUUGAGGGUACUAAGAGAUCCUCGGGAGACUGAGAGAUCCCCGAUUAUUUCCUUGUGAUUGUUUUGCCUCUGUUUCAGUUAUUGAAUUCCUUGUUUUCCUGUAUUAAAUUUUUAUUGUUAGUUUUCAACUGUACUACUUAUCUUAUACUGUCAUACCUUAUAUUUUUAUUUUAUCUCAGUAGGGCCCGGACCAUCCUUGUCGCUACCCGACCGAGGUUAGGCUUGACACUUACUGAGUACCGUUGUGGUGUACUCAUGCCCUUUCUGCGUAUAUUUUUCAUGUGCAGAUCCAAGUACUGCGACUCAGUCCUAUCACACUUGAGGCGAGGCGAAUGCUCCAGAGACUUCGAGGUAUAUCUGCUGCUUCCGCAGACUGAGGAGUCCCUUUCCAUUCUAUCUUGUAGUGACAACUCUUCUAUCUUUUCUGAUGAUGUAGACAUUCCGAAGUUAGAGCAUUUUAUUAUAUUCAUAGCUUGUGAUUCAUGGGUUUCCGGGUUUUGGGAAAACUGUAUUACUUUGUGAGAGUUUGUAUUGUGUAUGCCGAGUGGUACUUUCAAAUGCUG